GAGCACGUAGGUGGGUUUGUAAGUCAGGUGUGAAAGCCUUCUGUUCAAAGGAAGAACGGCAUCUGAAACUGCGAAUCUUGAGUGUAGGAGGGGAGAGUGGAACUUCUGGUGGAGCGGUGAAAUGCGUAGAUAUCAGAAGGAACGUCGGCGGCGAAAGCGACUCUCUGGCCUAUUACUGACACUGAGUGUGCGAAAGUUAGGGGAGCAAACGGGAUUAGAUACCCCGGUAGUCCUAACCGUAAACGAUGGGCACUAAGUAGAGGG
Molecule: ribosomal RNA, 264 nt
Filed under: uncultured Planctomycetota bacterium
Lineage: Bacteria; Pseudomonadati; Planctomycetota
Description: uncultured planctomycete partial 16S ribosomal RNA
Rfam family: Bacterial small subunit ribosomal RNA
Source: RNAcentral